CAGAACAAGCCAGUGUGUGCCCGCGCAUAUGGACACCAGCACAUCUCUGUGCACCGACCACGGGAGUAGGUGGCCCGACCCGGGAUGACCUCUCAGGCAUGUCCCCGAAGGAGCAGAGCCGCCAGUACCAAGCAGCACUCUGUGACGCCCUUGCAGACAUUUGGAAAUGACCAAGAAUGACCAGAUAUUCAAUCCUCAGUGGACAGCCUCCCAACUGAUGAGUCAUAAUACAUUUACAAUAGAAAGCAUCACAUAACGUAAAGCGCCGCACAGUGACAUGCUGUACAUAUUUUAGAAAUUUUGCUAUAAUCGAGACCAGCACUGGAGAUUUACAGCUUAUAGAAUCUAAGACAAUCAAUUGUAAGAUGAAUCACUGUUUUACCUACCACCAAGGAAGAAAAAACGCUGCCAAUUAAAGGAUCUAAUUAAAUGGUUAGCUCUGCCCUGAUCUCAGCGAUGUCACAGGGUGCGUCCUAGACCCAGCGAGCUCUGGCAGCUGUUCCUCUGUCUCUGAGAAUUAGCUGAGUGAGCCAGGAGCCUGCUGGGUCUUGAGGGCGCUGCCUCUUCCUUGGUAGGCUGAGGGUCACUGGGCACAGGCACAGUUUAGCAGAUGGAGAAAGUAACUGAUCUUGAGACAUUCAAGGAAAAGGUCGGCUCUGAUACCUGACCCACGAGUGGAACAUGGGAAAACAAGUGAACUUCUCUGAGUGGGGAAAGUCUGGGGACAUUCCGCCCCUGAAAUGUGGAGCUCCUGCAGGCCUAUGAGUGGAAGGGAGGAGGUGAGGAAGGAAGGAAGGAAAAACCAUCUCUAUCAGCCCUGACCACCCCCAGAGGAGGCCACUGCAGGAAAUUCAAUUUGGCUGACUUGGCUGUGGGGUGGGGAGUCAGUCAGGACUUGGGGGGAACAGGGAGCCCAGCAAGAUCAAAGCAGAGAGAGAAAUAAGGGAGAGCUUUACAAUCAGGGAAAGGCUGUCUGUGGCCCCUGAUUGCAUGAGAGGCAAAAGGGACACUGCGGAGUCAGAGGGAGGCCAGCAUUUAGAGGAUGGGACAGCAGUGGCACCAUCGACACAGGAGACCUGGAGAGGAGGCUAGAGUGAGCAGAGACAGGAACUGGGGAUGGGCAAGUGGGAGUGGUUUGGGUCGUGCUGAGUGUAAGGGGAAGAGGGCCGCCCAAGGAGAAGGGCCAGAAAAAAAGAACAAGAACGGAGGUUGAGAGGGGAGCAGCUCUCUGAAGGGGAGGGGAGACGGGCAGGAGGGGAGAAGGCUGGGUUCCUCCCACUGGGACCUUUGUAUUUUCCUUAAAAGAGAUUCAUUAAAUGGACAACUAAUUAUGACUUAAAUGUUAUACCUUAAUAAGACUUUCCAUCUAAAUACUUUCACAAAUCAGAAACUAUCCUUUUGUCUGGCCACGUACCUCUUUUUGCGAUUGAGAAAAACCUGACCACCAUAAAAACGGCAACGCAAGGGAACCCAUCAGCAAAUGUAUUUCUUGAGCCUCUGUGUACUGACUGGCUGGCUUUCAAAGACUUCUAGCCCUCAUUUUUAAAUAUCAUUUUGUAGUUUUUCAUAGUACUUUUUUUACAUAUGAUAUUUCAUUAGAUAGUAACAACACUGUGAAUAUUUAAGGCAAAAAAACACAAUAUCCUCAGCUCAUUUAUUCAUUCAUUCUUUCGUUCCCCCAGACUGCAACCACCCAUGAAUUUGUUUAGUGACCUCCCUCUCCCUUCACCCCGAGUCCUUAAUGCUGCUGGAGAAAUUGCAUAGCCUUGCACACUGGUGUCAUUUUUCCAAACAAUAUUUAUUUAACAUUAUCAGGUAUUCAGUUAGUGACCACAUUUCCAAUUGUCUCAUAAAUAUUAUAAAUUGCUUCCCACCGUUUAUGGGAAUCACACAGGUAAUGCUUACAGAACGUGACUGAUGUGUCUCUUAAGCCCCUUUUAGUAGAUCUGUUUCCUUCCCAUUUUCCCCCCCUUGUAAUUUGCUUGAAAAACACCAGGUUGCAUACCCAGCACUCCUCUGCAGACUGGGCUUGCCGAGCAUGUCCCUGCGGUGUCGCUUAGCGUGUUCCUUUGCCCUUCGGAUUAUCUGGAGCUCAGUGGCUGGAUACAGAAGCUCAAGUAGAUUCCGUCUGGUAGGUGGGGGUGUGUUCUUUCCCUCAGGAAAGCUUGUCUGACGUUCCUCUUUGUGAUGUAGCAGCCAUUGGUUAUCAAUGCCAUAAUCCUCCCCCAAAGUUACAUUCUAUUCUAUCAUUCCUUCUUCAUUUAUAGCUAAAAGUCUUCUAGAAACAGAAAAUUCCCAUCUACUAUUUGUUUACCCAAUGGCAACACAAACAAAACAAGUGGAAUAGGAUUCUUUUCUUUUAUUUACUAGUGUUCAAAAUGAGCUAGUUUGUACUCAGUGAACUGGUCCAUUAAUACCCUCUAAUGGUGACCAAUUAGUUUAGUUUUUUAAAUUUUCAUUAUGAGCUCAUACUAACCAUAUCUGAUGUGUUCCAGUCCAUUACAGUUUUAGCCUUACUGAUGCUCAAAACUUUCCUUCUUCCGCCAGUGGGAACCUCUUUGGGUUGGCUCCUGGUCCCCUUGACAUGACCCCUGUGGUCUUUGAUUGGCUCCUUGCCUCCUGGUACGACAGUAUUGAUUCAUCUACAUUUUCUGUUCCUAAGAUCUGGAAUCAAUCAUUUCGCUAAGAAGCCCUGAUUCUUUUUGGUGGAAAAAGGAAUUUCAAGACCACAGUUGGGUUCUAUGAUGCCUAUGAGUUUUAACCUCAUGAUCUCAGUGCUUAACCCAGGACCAAUGUAUGGUUAAACUCAUUUUCUCUGAGACAAUUUUUUCAGCCGUCUGCUCCUUCAUCACACAGUCCAUCCCCUCCACCCCGACCCUCAGCAGAUUAGCUGGCCUCAUCCUUCCCUGAGAGAAGAGCCCUCAUCUUCCAUCACCCACUCUCCCUCAUCAUCUUCCCGGCAGCGAUGGACCCGUUUCUGCUUCCCUCCACACAUGCUGGGACUCGGCCCAUCUUCCCUCCCUAAGGACUUUGUUCCUUCCCUUAUCCCCGCUGUCCCAUGUCACCCAUCUCUGCCUCUCUCCUGGGUCCGUCCCAGCGGGGUACAAACAUGCUGUAGUGUCCCACAUCCCCUCUCACUGCGGCCCUUCUCAGAGAUCAUGAACUUAAAACGAAGCCAUUCGGCAAGAUGGUGGGGUUUUUCUGGCAGGGUUUAGAGCUGUUGGGAGCACGCUGGACAUGCCCAUGCAGAGCUAUCAACGCUACACGGAACACAGGUAAACCUCGCCCAGGCCCAUCUCUCCUGCUGACGACUGAGAGCAGCCCGUUACUCAGGCAGUAGCUGGCCACCUGCUUCCUCUCCUGGUCGUACAGGACGUAGAGCGAGUCAUUCCCCCUGCUUGUCACAGCUUCUGAUGGUACUUGGGUGAGGUCUCCCCUCCUGCCCCCACUGUCCUCCCACCCACCUGCCUCCGUUCUUCCCUCAUCCCUGGUCCCAGGCAUGCACCCCUCGCUUGGUCCUGUGACUAUGCCAAGCCCCAGCUCAAGGUGCCACCGUCCACCGACUGGGUUCUUCUCAGCUUUCCUUCUUCAGCCUACACUUGGCCCUGCAGAGGGGUCUGACCACAGCUUCCCUACCACAUUCCUGUCCCUCUGAAUCCUUCCGGCAUCUGCGCUUGCCUUGCUCGUCUUCACUCAGACAGAAUCGCACAGGAGUUCAAUGCAAGGACCUGGAGACUGACGGGCUGGGACUGAGUCCUGGACCUACCCUUCCACGCUGGGUGACCUUGAGCAACUUAACUUCUUGGUUCCUCAGAUUCCUCACGUCUUAUAUGGAGGAGUUGUGAGAAUUAAGCUCAUUGAUAUUUGUUCAAUGUCACGUGGGACAGUGCCUGGCCCGCAGUGGGCACCACGUAGGUGUUAGCCAUCAAUAUGUAUGUCCCCAGUCCCACUGGCUCUGCGAAGCCAGGGCCAUGUCUCUGUAGGUGCUGCUGGGCACCCAGCGCCUGGCGUUCAAUGAAUCCUUGCUGAGUGGAGGUACAGAGGACGCGUGAACACCUGCUUGGAGCUGGCUGGGAAAGUGAGCCUCUUAAGUAGACCCUGGGCAAAUGGCAGCACAGAUGACACUUGCCAUUGUCCCUCAUUCCCACAGUCUAGAAUUGACAUACUGAUGCACAAGGUAACGCAAGAAAACUCGAGCAGCUGAAGUCAUCAGAAAAGGCUGGAUGAUGAGGUUAAUGAGGUUAAUUCACGGGCGCUGGCUCUGCGUUCUCCAUUGUAGGCAGCUGAGAGCCCAGGAAAACAGGGCUGCCCGUCAAAGCAAGCUGACGUGUACUGGUGGAGAGGCAAGCAUGCAAACCUGGUGAAGUGGAAAGGACAGGAAUGGUUUCUGACUUGCUCAGAAUACCAAAGCCCUGACAGGACUUGCUAUUGACACCAGGUCGCCGAACUUCUCACUCAGACUUUUCUUUUGGCCACCCUGAUUUCACAUUUUAUCUAUUUGAGAGAACUGGUCUUUGCACUGUGUUGUGUGUUGCUGACGAAUUGGGCAGGCUAAGGUGGUUUUCCUCAUGUGCUGACUAAGGCACAGAUCACUGGUAUUUCCAGCACCGCUCCAGAAACUGGAGACCCACUUGUCACUGGACCCACGGACAUAUUUCUACAGGGAGUAUGGAAGAAAAAGGUAGAGUGAAAUAAAAAGCUGACAGCGGCUGAAAAAAUACUACUGCAUUUUUGCAGAUCAAGCUAUGUUUAAACCUCAAAACCGAACAUAAAUCCAUGUAAGACGCACAAAAAAUGAUAACUAAAAGAGGACCUGCCAGGGUUUAUGAGCACAGUAAAAAUCAAAAGGGACCUGUUGCCCCAGGUCACUUGGCUCAUAUCCAGCCUGUGAGCCUUCACUUUUAUAGCUUCCUGAAGAGCCCCUUGUUAAAAGAGGUGUUCUGUUUGAUUCUCCAUGAGGACAUGGCUUUUGUACUAGAAAAAUGUCUUAACAGUUUGUGUUUUUAAACAUAUUAUACAUUAAAAACCUGUGAUGACACCACGCCUGGCUCCUGUGAAGCCUUGUAAGCGAGCUGAGUGUCUUCAGUUACAGAGCUGUUUUUUCAAGCUCGAAUUCCUUCCUGCCUUCGAGGCCCAGCAGACCACCGGUGCCUGCACAUAUUUAUUUAGACAAUAAUAUUGACUAGACAGCCAGAUUUUUCUCACUCUCUUUACAUCCGGAAGGCUUGCUCAUAAUUAGUGAAAUAAGCUUUCUCUGCUUCUCUGUGCCAAGACUCUUUAGGAAGUAGUGAGGACAUAGACACAAUUGUCUCUGCUCUCUCUUUUCAUUCUCUCUGCCACACCUUUUCCCAUUCUUUCCACAAUCCUUCGUACAAAAUGUGACACUUCACACCGAGCUGCACAGGGAGGUCAGCUCUGGGGGAAACACCUCUUCAGAGGAAGGACUUGCUCGCCUUCCCCUGGGCUCAGCCCCUUCCCGCGUCGCCCCCCUUUGGCCAGAGGGUGAGAGUACAUCUUCGCUCCGUGUCGCUUGCCACAGCUUUUCUGAGCACAAAGAGCCUCAUGGGCGCUUUUCACAGUGACGGCGCAGAUGAAAACACUGUGUCUCGCUCAGACAGCGGACCGGGGUCAUCAGCUGGAAGCUUUGAGGACUAACUGGAAACGGACUUCCCAUCCACGUGUGAAAUGAUUCCUCCCUCCCUCUUCAGUUCAUGUUAUAAAAGGAAAGAGGAGAAGCGAUUACAAGAAAAAGAACAGGAUGCAGUUGACAAAACAUGAGAUGAAAGUGUGGUUAGGUGAGGAAAUUGACGUUGUCUUCACAGUGACCCUUUAUCAAGUCACCCAUACCUUUCAGAAUCUGAUGAAAGAUACACACUGUUUCCCCAGGAAAACGCGGAGGAGCACAUGGAUAAUUUGCCUGUUAUCGCAUGUGAUUCACUGAUACACCCCAGUCCUAUAUGAACCACAGGCCAACAAUUUCUAUUUUAGAAGCAAGUUAGAAGAAACUGGUAACAAAAGUACUUCUAAGAGUGGUUGGGAAAUAAAUCUUAAUGACGAAGACAUUUCCAAGGAUAUGAGGAAACGCAGAGCUGACAUCAUGCACAAGAAGAGGAUGAUGAACUGAGGGCUCGUCAAAGAAAAAUGUUAAUCUACUGGGUGGGUCCUCCUGUUACAGGAACAUUUCCACCAUCGAUGCUAAGAUGUGUUCCAUUCCAUGUAAUUUGUGGCAGGGGAGAAUUAGUCCCUCUGAACUGCAGUAGAUCACGCCACCUGGAAGUGUUUUAAACACAUCGACAAGCGUUCAAUCUCAAAAAUGGUUCGCUUUUGUAAAUUUUUGUUUUGUGUUGCUUCCUCCUGUGGGUUGAUAGUUUUCCAAACGGUACAUUUUCAAAGGCUCCUGCUUCGCUAAGGUAACAUGUUUUUAGACACUUAUCUGGGGUCAGGGUGAACGCGUACUCUGGCACAGUCACAAAAGAGGGACAACAGCAGCCAGGACAGGCUGCUGCCACCCAGAUCUGAGUGCCUCAGCAUGGCGGGAAUUGAUUUCUCGCUCGUGCAAAGUCUGCUGUGGCCCCAGCAGCUCCCCACGCCAUCUCUCACCGAUGUGUUGGCUCAGUGUUCUAAGCUGCUCGAAUCCUUCAGCCCCUUUAUGUCACCACUUACUCCGUUGUCACUGUGGGAGAGAAGCGCUGAAGAUAUGAGCACCACAAUCACAUGCUUCCCCCUGAAAGUGUCUACGUUGCUCCCAACCACAUUUCUUUGGCCAAGGAAGGUCACAGAGUGAUGCCUAAUUGUAUGGAGAUGGGGAAGCACGGUCCAUCAGUGGGCCAGGAGAACCAAGUGAUGAUAAAAGUUGUAAUGUCUGUCACAGGGAUCACUGGAACACAUUUGAAAAUGAAAAUAAAUUCUGAGGGGGCCGGCCAAGUGGCUCAGUUGGUUAAGAGCG
Molecule: long non-coding RNA, 6946 nt
Organism: Hipposideros armiger (great roundleaf bat)
Lineage: Eukaryota; Metazoa; Chordata; Mammalia; Chiroptera; Hipposideridae
Exons: 4
Source: RefSeq, a predicted model, not a curated record